This 1172-nucleotide long non-coding RNA is filed under the name Marmota monax (woodchuck). Lineage: Eukaryota; Metazoa; Chordata; Mammalia; Rodentia; Sciuridae. The record is from RNAcentral.
CCGGACUCCCCUACACCACCCGCGGCCCAGUUCCCGGAGAGCCGACCGCCCGGCCCCGCCCUUUUCGAGCCCCUCCUGGCCGGGGACGCAAGGUCAGAUGAUCCCCCAGCAGGGAUCUAAUUGGCUUCUCAAGAAAGGAGGGCAUGGCUUGCAACUGAACAAAGCCCGGAGGAACCCUGAACCUCCAUCAGCGGGUCGCCUGCCGCCGGGCCCCGCCCACCACGCUAUGCCUUUUCCCCAGCCCCUGCAAGGUGGGCGUUCUUCUGCCCAGAGGCCCGCCCGGCGGAACCGAGACUCUUAUUGUCCACCCACUCCUGACGUAUCCGCCCACCAGGGUGGGAACGGCCCCUACCUCCACCCUCCUCUCGGCGAGUGGGAUCCUCCGGGCGUAGUCUUGUGUGAGGAGUGGGUUCUGGGUGCACCAGGUUACAGUUGGACACGUAGAGGCACCGGGACUAAGAAUGCGCAAAACGAUGACUUUGUGACGCCUCAAGUCUGUAAUCGGGCAACUUCAGGCACAAACCAAAAAACCCGUGUUUCUGUGCCUACUUCCUCUAGAGGGCAAGAGGGGUUUUUUGGUGCCAAGUUAGUGCCGUCUUUCCUGUUUGAAACUCAGAAACUCACCCCCCGCCCCGCUUUCGAGUGAGGAAGCCCCCAAGUUCCUCAGAUACUCUCCAAACUGCAGGCACAACACCAGGGUGCUGCAUUUGAUAUUUUAAAAGAACACGAGGAUUAAGGCUUUUUCACAUGGCUGUCACCAGAUCACGACAACUCAAGGGGGUCUUCAGUUUUGCCUACGGGAGGAAAGAAAAAGAAAAUAUUAUCUGACUUACAUACAAAGCGUUACAUUUCCUUUAAACUUGUCAGCAGCGAGUUUAAAGCUCUCCGUUGAAAAUAUUUAUAGAUUUGAUUAUAGGGUAUUAGAUUGUCGAUGUAGGAAGAGAACUUUUGGUUCUUUUUCAAAUGUUUGGAAACAGCGAGAGAAAGCUAUUUGUCCAGAAUCACCCAGCCAAUAUUAUGUAAGAGAUUUUAAUCUCAUCUAACCUUCUACUAUAAUGUUACUGUGAUUGUAAUGAUAUGUAAGGUUUAAUAACAUGUAAUAUUUCUUUAAAUAUUAUUCUUUAAAAGAUUUUCGAAGUAAAGGAAGUUGUUAAAUGGAAUAUUAACCAUCA